Molecule: ribosomal RNA, 484 nt
Filed under: uncultured bacterium
Lineage: Bacteria
Description: partial 16S ribosomal RNA
Rfam family: Bacterial small subunit ribosomal RNA
Source: RNAcentral
AUUGAACGCUGGCGGCAGGCCUAACACAUGCAAGUCGAGCGGAUGAAGGGAGCUUGCUCCUGGAUUCAGCGGCGGACGGGUGAGUAAUGCCUAGGAAUCUGCCUGGUGGUGGGGGAUAACGUCCGGAAACGGGCGCUAAUACCGCAUACGUCCUGAGGGAGAAAGUGGGGGAUCUUCGGACCUCACGCUAUCAGAUGAGCCUAGGUCGGAUUAGCUAGUUGGUGGGGUAAAGGCCUACCAAGGCGACGAUCCGUAACUGGUCUGAGAGGAUGAACAGUCACACUGGAACUGAGACACGGUCCAGACUCCUACGGGAGGCAGCAGUGGGGAAUAUUGGACAAUGGGCGAAAGCCUGAUCCAGCCAUGCCGCGUGUGUGAAGAAGGUCUUCGGAUUGUAAAGCACUUUAAGUUGGGAGGAAGGGCAGUAAGUUAAUACCUUGCUGUUUUGACGUUACCAACAGAAUAAGCACCGGCUAACUUCGUG